RNAcentral lists this ribosomal RNA (521 nucleotides) under uncultured bacterium. Its description in RNAcentral is "bacterial SSU rRNA". It matches the Rfam family "Bacterial small subunit ribosomal RNA", at positions 772 to 1296 of the family's 1533-position model. The record is from RNAcentral.
ACGCAAUAGAUACCCCGGUAGUCCACGCCGUAAACGAUGAUCACUCGCUGUUUGCGAUAUACAGCAAAGCGGCUGAGCGAAAGCAUUAAGUGAUCCACCUGGGGAGUACGAUCGCAAGGUUGAAACUCAAAGGAAUUGACGGGGCCCGCACAAGCGGAGGAAACAUGUGGUUUAAUUCGAUGAUACGCGAGGAACCUUACCUGGGCUUAAAUGUAGGCUGCAUUCGGCUGAAAGGCUGAUUCCCUUCGGGGCUGCUUACAAGGUGCUGCAUGGUUGUCGUCAGCUCGUGCCGUGAGGUGUCGGGUUAAGUCCCAUAACGAGCGCAACCCCGUAUCGUUAGUUGCCAGCGGGUCAAGCCGGGGACUCUAGCGAGACUGCCACCGUAAGGUGAGAGGAAGGUGGGGAUGACGUCAAAUCAGCACGGCCCUUAUGUCCAGGGCUACACACGUGUUACAAUGGCCGGUACAAAGGGCAGCUACUAUGCGAAUAGAUGCUAAUCUCGAAAGCCGGUCCCAGUUCGG